GCUGAUAUGGCUCAGUUGGUAGAGCGCACUCUUGGUAAGGGUGAGGUCCCCAGUUCGACUCUGGGUAUCAGCACCA
RNAcentral lists this transfer RNA (76 nucleotides) under Escherichia coli. RNAcentral describes it as "tRNA-Thr". It matches the Rfam family "tRNA". From Rfam's summary of the family: Transfer RNA (tRNA) molecules are approximately 80 nucleotides in length. Their secondary structure includes four short double-helical elements and three loops (D, anti-codon, and T loops). Lineage: Bacteria; Pseudomonadati; Pseudomonadota; Gammaproteobacteria; Enterobacterales; Enterobacteriaceae. RNAcentral also lists the same sequence under 5 other names. The record is from RNAcentral.